RNAcentral lists this ribosomal RNA (428 nucleotides) under uncultured bacterium. Its description in RNAcentral is "partial 16S ribosomal RNA". It matches the Rfam family "Bacterial small subunit ribosomal RNA", at positions 354 to 796 of the family's 1533-position model. The record is from RNAcentral.
GUGGGGAAUAUUGGGCAAUGGGCGAAAGCCUGACCCAGCAACGCCGCGUGAGGGAAGAAGGCCUUCGGGUUGUAACCCUCUGUCCUUGGUGACGAAGAAAGUGACGACAGCCAAGGAGGAAGCCCCGGCUAACUACGUGCCAGCAGCCGCGGUAAUACGUAGGGGGCGAGCGUUGUCCGGAAUUACUGGGCGUAAAGGGUGCGUAGGUGGCCUUUUAAGUUGGAUGUGAAAUACCCGGGCUUAACUUGGGGGGUGCAUCUAAUACUGGGAGGCUAGAGUGCAGGAGAGGGAAGCUGAAUUCCUAGUGUAGCGGUGAAAUGCGUAGAUAUUAGGAGGAACACCAGUGGCGAAGGCGGCUUUCUGGACUGUAACUGACACUGAGGCACGAAAGCGUGGGGAGCAAACAGGAUUAGAAACCCCAGUAGUCC